Helianthus annuus (common sunflower) is the source of this 1423-nucleotide long non-coding RNA. RefSeq lists it as uncharacterized. The transcript has 2 exons. The record is from RefSeq and is a predicted model, not a curated record. NCBI's taxonomy places the organism in Eukaryota, Viridiplantae, Streptophyta, Magnoliopsida, Asterales, Asteraceae.
ACACUCAAUCUAUGUAGCAGAUAGAAUCUUUAGAGUGAUUGAUUUAUGCAAAGAAGAAAAGACCCAUGAUUUGUUCGUUUUUACUCUCAUCAUAAUCGUGACAGAGACCUUGUGGUUGAAUAAUUAUGGCUAACACCUUUCUCCAACCCCUAAAUCCUCAAAUCCAGAAACAUAUCCAACUCUCUAUGCAUUGUGUACAACUUAACCUUUGGAAAAGAAAGAACACUACACUAUUUUCAAGAUAGCCAUGAUACCAUCCACCCCUCUUAAAUAUUUAGACCUCUAAUUUAACUGUCCUGUACCCCCUCCCCUCUCCUCUCUCUCUCUAGAUGACUCUCUGUAUCCCAUCAUCAUCAUCUUGAAUAAAUAACACCCAUCUGCCUUCUUUCUUUCAAGAACAUCUUCUUUAUAUGUGCACCACAGUUAGUGUGUGUUUUCUGGCUUUAGGGUUUCUUUCAUGGUGGUUUAGUGAAGAGUUUUCAUUAGAUUCCUUUAGGGUUUUUAGGGUUUCUUUCAUGGUGGUUUAAUAAAGAGUUUCCAGCAGAUUUCUUUGGCAUUCUGUCCACCUCCAUAUUCAUUGAUCUAUGUAUCUCACUGUUGUGUAAAUGUGUAAUUAGGGUUUAUUGGUUUGAUAAGAAAAGAGAAAUAAUCUAGUGCAAGAUUUUGUUUUCUUUUUCUUGUGUGUGUAAUCUGUGUUUAGUUAAGAGUGUGGAGGUGGGCAUACUGUCAAUGGAGCUCUGUUGGUAUCUCUUUGUAAAACCAUCUUGAAUCUUCUUUUUAUGAUCGAUCAUCUUUCCACAUGAUCUAUCACCGAAAAGUACAGUGUGUACUUGCAUAUUAUGCUUCUCACUACUGUGGAUAGUGUGUGUGUUUUUGUGUGGAUCUUGUUUUGACUUGUUGAUAGUGUUGAAAGCAUUAUGUUUUUGCAGUACUGGUGUGAUGAUUCAUCCCAAAAGCAGACGUCUGUGUAGAUGAUCAUUAUCAAAGCUUGCGGACUAUAUCUGUCGGAGAAGAGGUGGACAUCGGCAGGAGAAGAGAUAGAUCAAACCUCUGCAGUCUGCAAGAAGAAGACUGUUUGUUUUUUCAACGUAUGCAGACUUCUAAAAUAAGCUACUGGUGGUGUACGGACGGUGGUGGACGUGGGUGGGGUGAGGUGGUGCUGUUUAAUCCUUUGCAGUACUUAGAAGAUCUUAGAUAUGGUUGGAUUAAGUUUGCAACAAGAAGAACUCGUGCAGACGGUUUUUUUUAAUGAAAUGUCUUUGGAAAAACAAACAGUUUGCAGACAACAAAAUCUGCGCGGCAAAGAUAAAAGAGUCUGUGCAUGUCGUUUUUAGAAAAUCUACGCAACCUAAGAGUUUGUUUUAAUAUGAGUUGAAAUAUGUUAAUUUGUUUGAAAUAGAUUAUUGACCAAAAUGCUUAUAUA